This 340-nucleotide long non-coding RNA is filed under the name Elaeis guineensis (African oil palm). RNAcentral describes it as "long non-coding RNA (EGUI_LNC043294)". The record is from RNAcentral. Lineage: Eukaryota; Viridiplantae; Streptophyta; Magnoliopsida; Arecales; Arecaceae.
UACUCCUACAGUGGAUCAACUAUCACCAACAUCCACUACAAGGGCCCAUUGAGACCAUGUUUAUGUGUUAGUCAAACUCCAGUAGUCUUACUGCGAGUGGUUAUACCAUCAUAGAUUAAAGGAUCAUUCACACAACUACAGCAUCUAGACAAUCACUGUCGAUCGAGUAGAAAUCUAAGUGAUCUCUCGUAUGGUCAUACUCAGUACUAGUUGUUCUCUAACAACUACUACACUCAUUGCUCAGUAUCUCUAUACUUUAGACUAAAGACUCAUCUUUUCUAAAGGAAGCAAUCUAUGCACCGAUCUAUCUGGAUCGAUCACCAUCCUAUAAUGAUACUAU